UACGUAGGGGCAAGCGUUUGUCCGGAUUUAUUGGGCGUAAAGAGCGUGUAGGCGGCUUGGCAAGUCCGCUGUGAAAACUCGAGGCUUAACCUCGAGACGUCGGUGGAAACUGCUUGGCUAGAGUCCGGAAGAGGAGAGUGGAAUUCCGUGGAUGUAGCGGUGAAAUGCGCAGAUAUCAGGAAGAACACCCGUGGCUAAGGCGGCUCUCUAGUACGGUACUGGACGCUGAAGACGCG
Molecule: ribosomal RNA, 236 nt
Filed under: uncultured bacterium
Lineage: Bacteria
Description: partial 16S ribosomal RNA
Rfam family: Bacterial small subunit ribosomal RNA
Source: RNAcentral